GCGCCCUUAGCUCAGCUGGAUAGAGCAACGGCCUUCUAAGCCGUAGGUCGCAGGUUCGAAUCCUGCAGGGCGUGCCA
This 77-nucleotide transfer RNA is filed under the name Sneathiellales bacterium. RNAcentral describes it as "tRNA-Arg". It matches the Rfam family "tRNA". From Rfam's summary of the family: Transfer RNA (tRNA) molecules are approximately 80 nucleotides in length. Their secondary structure includes four short double-helical elements and three loops (D, anti-codon, and T loops). The record is from RNAcentral. Lineage: Bacteria; Pseudomonadati; Pseudomonadota; Alphaproteobacteria; Sneathiellales.